UUUCGGUCAUCGAUGGGGAUGCGUUCCAUUAGCUUGUUGGCGGGGUAACGGCCCACCAAGGCAUCGAUGGAUAGGGGUUCUGAGAGGAAGGUCCCCCACAUUGGAACUGAGACACGGUCCAAACUCCUACGGGAGGCAGCAGUGAGGAAUAUUGGUCAAUGGGCGCUAGCCUGAACCAGCCAAGUAGCGUGAAGGAUGACUGCCCUAUGGGUUGUAAACUUCUUUUAUAUGGGAAUAAAGUGCAGUAUGUAUACUGCUUUGCAUGUACCUUAUGAAUAAGGAUCGGCUAACUCCGUGCCAGCAGCCGCGGUAAUACGGAGGAUCCGAGCGUUAUCCGGAUUUAUUGGGUUUAAAGGGAGCGUAGGCGGGUUGUUAAGUCAGUUGUGAAAGUUUGCGGCUCAACCGUAAAAUUGCAGUUGAUACUGGCAUCCUUGAGUACAGUAGAGGUAGGCGGAAUUCGUGGUGUAGCGGUGAAAUGCUUAGAUAUCACGAAGAACUCCGAUUGCGAAGGCAGCCUGCUGGACUGUAACUGACGCUGAUGCUCGAAAGUGUGGGUAUCAAACAGGAUUAGAUACCCUGGUAGUCCACACAG
Molecule: ribosomal RNA, 592 nt
Filed under: uncultured bacterium
Lineage: Bacteria
Description: bacterial SSU rRNA
Rfam family: Bacterial small subunit ribosomal RNA
Source: RNAcentral